UAGAGAGAGGGCGCCCUUGCUACCAGGGUCCACAGGCUCAGUCUCAGCCUGGUUCCUGUUUGUGGUGCCCCUUUCUCAGGCCUGUGGGGAUGUCAGGAGCUUAGGACAGCGCCGGGCUCAAGAGAUGUGGCUACCUUCCCUCCUGCUUUCGGUACUCAGCGCAGGCAGGGUUCAGUGCAGCAAGUAACAGCUGUGGCUUACUGGAUUGUCUGCAACCAUUGGCGACUGAGAGAUCCCUGCAGCCCUCCCAGACCCUCGAUCUGACUGGAGCCAGGCCCACGUGGGGAAAGGGUUAAACGUUGGCAGUGACUUCACCCCUGCAUUGGAGCAGGCGGAGGCAGAGUAGGAACCUGCUGGAAGCUGUUCUGAACCAGAGAAGGAUGAAAAUAGCUGCCAAAGAUGUUGCCAUAGCAACUGCUUUCCUUCCUGACCUCCUUGGAAGUGAACUCCCUCAUUUUCCAGAGUAGUCAAGGAAUUUCUGUGCCUCUACCCAUGGCUUUGGUUACCAACUCAUCCCUGGGGGCCUUGGUUUCUUUCUGUGAAAUGGAAUAUUCAUUCCAGCACUCACCACCUUCUAGGCUGGAGUAAGGCUCCAACUUUGCAAAUGCUGUUAGUAAACUGUAGAGCUCC
This 630-nucleotide long non-coding RNA is filed under the name Homo sapiens (human). RNAcentral's name for it is "long intergenic non-protein coding RNA 2736". The record is from RNAcentral. Lineage: Eukaryota; Metazoa; Chordata; Mammalia; Primates; Hominidae.